RNAcentral lists this ribosomal RNA (584 nucleotides) under uncultured bacterium. Its description in RNAcentral is "bacterial SSU rRNA". It matches the Rfam family "Bacterial small subunit ribosomal RNA", at positions 102 to 681 of the family's 1533-position model. The record is from RNAcentral.
ACGGGUGAGUAAUGCUUAGGAAUCUGCCUAUUAGUGGGGGACAACAUCUCGAAAGGGAUGCUAAUACCGCAUACGUCCUACGGGAGAAAGCAGGGGACCUUCGGGCCUUGCGCUAAUAGAUGAGCCUAAGUCGGAUUAGCUAGUUGGUGGGGUAAAGGCCUACCAAGGCGACGAUCUGUAGCGGGUCUGAGAGGAUGAUCCGCCACACUGGGACUGAGACACGGCCCAGACUCCUACGGGAGGCAGCAGUGGGGAAUAUUGGACAAUGGGGGGAACCCUGAUCCAGCCAUGCCGCGUGUGUGAAGAAGGCCUUUUGGUUGUAAAGCACUUUAAGCGAGGAGGAGGCUACCGAGAUUAAUACUCUUGGAUAGUGGACGUUACUCGCAGAAUAAGCACCGGCUAACUCUGUGCCAGCAGCCGCGGUAAUACAGAGGGUGCAAGCGUUAAUCGGAUUUACUGGGCGUAAAGCGCGCGUAGGUGGCCAAUUAAGUCAAAUGUGAAAUCCCCGAGCUUAACUUGGGAAUUGCAUUCGAUACUGGUUGGCUAGAGUAUGGGAGAGGAUGGUAGAAUUCCAGGUGUAGCGG